GACGUAGGGCGCGAGCGUUGUCCGGAUUUAUUGGGCGUAAAGAGCUCGUAGGCGGCUUGUCGCGUCGAAUGUGAAAACUCGGGGCUCAACCCCGCGCUUGCAUUCGAUACGGGCAGGCUCGAGUUCGGUAGGGGAGACUGGAAUUCCUGGUGUAGCGGUGAAAUGCGCAGAUAUCAGGAGGAACACCGGUGGCGAAGGCGGGUCUCUGGGCCGAUACUGACGCUGAGGAGCGAAAGCGUGGGGAGCGAA
This 249-nucleotide ribosomal RNA is filed under the name uncultured bacterium. RNAcentral describes it as "partial 16S ribosomal RNA". It matches the Rfam family "Bacterial small subunit ribosomal RNA", at positions 524 to 772 of the family's 1533-position model. The record is from RNAcentral.